AGCUCCAAUAGCGUAUAUUAAAGUUGUUGCGGUUAAAAAGCUCGUAGUUGGAUCUACGAUCAAGUCAUGUGGUCGCUCUGCCUGAGUGUACUGCACUGACUGAUCCAUAUAUCCAGUAUUCGAUUGAUGCUCUUCAUUGAGUGUCUCUAGUUGCUGGAACUUUUACCUUGAAAAAAUUAGAGUGUUCAAAGCAGGCUGGUCGCCUGUAUAGUGUUGCAUGGAAUAAUGGAAUAGGACCUCGGUUCUAUUUUGUUGGUUUUCGGAGCGCGAGGUAAUGAUUAAGAGGGACAGACGGGGGCGUCCGUACUCUGCCGUUAGAGGUGAAAUUCUUGGAUCGGCGGAAGACGAACUACUGCGAAAGCAUUCGCCAAGAAUGUUUUCUUUAAUCAAGAACGAAAGU
This 400-nucleotide ribosomal RNA is filed under the name phytoplankton environmental sample. Its description in RNAcentral is "partial small subunit ribosomal RNA". It matches the Rfam family "Eukaryotic small subunit ribosomal RNA", at positions 587 to 990 of the family's 1831-position model. The record is from RNAcentral.